GGGAAAAUAUCAUUAUGUUCUCUAUUUCCUUGUUUUGGCAAUGCAGCCACGAAUGUUGAUGACUGUGGAUGAGAAUCUCAAACCUUUAUCUGUACCUGUUCGGGUGGGACAAGCUGUUGAUGUUGUUGGUCAGGCAGGUCGACCCAAGACUAUUACUGGUUUCCAGACACACUCAACACCCGUGCUUCUGGCUGCAGGCGAUAGAGCUGAGCUUGCUACUGAGAAGUAUAUUCCUCUUUCACCCAU
This 246-nucleotide unclassified non-coding RNA is filed under the name Hevea brasiliensis (rubber tree). Lineage: Eukaryota; Viridiplantae; Streptophyta; Magnoliopsida; Malpighiales; Euphorbiaceae. The record is from RNAcentral.